AUUCUUUUUUAGCCAACACCUAUUCCUGCUCCAUCGGCCCAACGUACAGAGAAGCGGCCGAUACAAACCGACUCUCCAAUUCAAUCGCCGCAGUAAAAACGACGUAAAACUUUUGCAAUUAAAAUUCGUUCUCAACCUUCCUUUGCUCCAACCGAGAAUUUACCUCCAGCAGAGGUUCCUUUGGCUGUAACUUCAGCUAAGGAACUGGCUUCUGUUCAGCCAGCUGAUCAAAUAUCGAUCGAGGUAAAUCCUCAGUCUAUCUUAAUCAAUUCUUCUUCUUCUCAUUCCUCAACCAGAUCACCUACAUUAUAUGCAAUUUCUGAUGUCGAAAGGCAAGCUCGUCGGGCAACUCGUCUCGACAAGAAGCAAAAAGAAGAGAGAAAAUGAGCGAAAAAGCAGAAGAAAGUUGCAGAAAAGCAGAAAAGAGGAAAAGAAGAAAAUCAAAAGAAGAAAGAGAAGGAGAAAAAGAAAAAUAGAGAAAUUCAGAGAAGGCAAGAAGAAGAAGAAGAGUGGAUUGCAAGAGAAAAAGAACAAAGGAGAAAGGAAGAAGAAUGUAAAAGGAAAGAAGAAGAAAGAAAGGAAGAGGAAGACAGGAAGAAAAAGAGAGGAGAUUAAAGUAAUAGAAGAAAUGGGUGUAGACUUUCUUGUCGAAC
RNAcentral lists this long non-coding RNA (653 nucleotides) under Ananas comosus (pineapple). RNAcentral describes it as "long non-coding RNA (ACOM_LNC013346)". The record is from RNAcentral. Lineage: Eukaryota; Viridiplantae; Streptophyta; Magnoliopsida; Poales; Bromeliaceae.